Molecule: long non-coding RNA, 2104 nt
Filed under: Homo sapiens (human)
Lineage: Eukaryota; Metazoa; Chordata; Mammalia; Primates; Hominidae
Description: HSALNT0084938
Source: RNAcentral
GAGAUGAAGUCUCACUCUUGUCACCCAGGCUGGAGUGCAGUGGUGUGAUCUUGGCUUACUGUAACCUCUGCCUCCCAGGCUCAAGCAAUUCUCCUGCCUGAGCCUCCCAAAUGGGUAGCUGGGAUUACAGGCAUGUGUCACCACACCUGGCUAAUUUUGUACUUUUACUCAAGGUUUGUGAGUGCACCAAUCGACACUCUGUAUCUAGCUGCUCUGGUGAGGACGUGGAGAACCUUUAUGUCUAGCUCAGGGACUGUAAACACACCAAUCGGCACUCUGUAUCUAGCUCAAGGUUUGUAAACACACCAAUCAGCACCCUGUGUUUAGCUCAAGGUUUGUGAGUGCACCAAUCGACACUCUGUAUCUAGCUGCUCUGGUGAGGACGUGGAGAACCUUUAUGUCUAGCUCAAGGAUUGUAAAUACACCAAUCGGCACCCUGUGUUUAGCUCAAGGUUUGUGAGUACACCAAUCAACACUCUGUAUCUAGCUGCUCUGGUGGGGCCUUGGAGAACCUGUGUGUCCAAACUCUGUAUCUAACUAAUCUGAUGGGGACGUGGAGAACCUUUGUAUCUAGCUCAGGGAUUGUAAACGCGCCAAUCAGCGCCCUGACAAAACAGGCCACUCGGCUCUACCAAUCAGCAGGAUGUGGGUGGGGCCAGAUAAGAGAAUAAAAGCAGGUUGCCAGCAUUAGCAACCCGCUCGGGUCCCCUUCCACACUGUGGAAGCUUUGUUCUUUUGCUCUUUGCAAUAAAUCUUGCUACUGCUCACUCUUUGGGUCCACGCUGCUUUUAUGAGCUGUAACACUCACCACGAAGAUCUGCAGCUUCACUCCUGAGCCCAGCGAGACCACGAGCCCACCAGAAGGAAGAAACUCCGAACACAUCUGAACAUCAGAAGGGACAGACUCUAGACGCGCCACCUUAAGAGCUGUAACACUCACCGCGAGGGUCCGCGGCUUCAUUCUUGAAGUCAGUGACACCAAGAACCCACCAAUUCCGGACACAAUACCCCCUCCUUGGGUGCCUGCUAAGGGCAGGUGUCUGAGCAUGAGAUGACACACCACAGUGGACAAGGGACACACUGGUAACAUGUGGCACUGUAUCCCAAGGAUGAUGCCCUGCAUGUGACAACGUAUAUAAUAACGACUGCUUCUGCUUUAAUAACAAAUAUCAAAUACAGUGUGACAACUCCUUGGGUGCUUCUGAAUACAUGUUAUAAUUUAUUUCUAGAGUGGAUCCUUUCCUAUCAUUUUUGGAGAGAAUUUACUCAAGGUCUAAAACUUUCAUGUGAUCACAAUGUCUUGAAGAUUAUGUAAAAGUAAACAAUUAUUUUAAUCAACUAAAAAUAUUUAUUUGGGCCAGGCACGGUGGCUCACGCCUAUAAUCCCAGCACUUUGGGAGGCUGAGGUGGGUGGAUCACCAGAGGUCAGGAGUUCGAGACCAGCCUGACCAACAUGGAGAAACCCCAUCUCUACUAAAAAUAUAAAAAUUAGCCAGGCGUGGUGGUACAUGCCUAUAAUCCCAGCUACUCAGGAGGCUGAGGCAGGACAAUCACUUGAACCCAGGAGGCGGAGGUUGUAGUGGGCCGAGAUUGUACCAUUGCACUCCAGCCUAGGCAAUAAGAGUGAAACUCGGUCCCUAAAGAAAUAAAUGUGUGUGCGUGCGUGUGUGUGUGUGUGUGUGUGUGUGUGUGUGUGUAUAUGUAUGUAUGUAUUAGAAGCCUCCCAUAGACUAAGCACCCACACAAAUAACUAAUGGUGUGGGAUGUCCAAGAGCAAACCCAGUCCCUGCUCUGCCCUGACAAAUGCAGGCCCUUCCCAGAUUAGAUCUGCUUAGGAUGCAAAAUGGUAGAGAGCCCGAGAUCUGGCAACACAGGAGAUCCUCAGAGCCCUGACAAACAGCCCCAGAAAGCCAAACAAAGGAGCUGAGCAUCACACCGACAGUAAGUCAAUUGCCUUUACUGCCUUAACUUGGGAGCUUAUUAAAAGAAUUUUUUGAAGACUUUAUGUCUUAUAAGACCAACCUCCACAUUGCUAGACUAUUUCUCAAAGUGAGUGGUACUGCAUUCAAAAUUUAGAGUUCUACUUUUCCACUAUUUUAUUUUU